UGUACACUGCGAUAUCACCGUUUUGUAGAACUUCUUUAGCUGCAGUAUGCCCAUAGCAGCAACUUACAUAUUCAAUUGCUCCUGUAGUGAGAAUAAUUAUUCUGUCUAUUUAAAUGAAGUUUAUAUCUUAAAAUAAAAGAUAGUUAUCUUUCUGGAUUUCCGGUUUAUCUCUUGAAUGGAAAGACACCAUGUCGAAGUACCCACGGUUAAUUUUUUACUUCACAUCAAUAUGUACAAAUCGCUAAUUUGAAUAUGAUGCUUAACCUAGAAUAGUAUAUAUUUAUAUAUAUAUAUAUAUAAAUUGGAGUAUUAUCUCAAGUAAAUAAGACACAGCUGAUUAGUUUCUCGGUUUGACCAGUCACCCUGGUUUUCUAACCUAAACCACUUCUGCUAACUUUAACAAUAGCACGUAAACUAUCUUUGGAACCUUCAUUUUCGGGAUGACCAAGUCCUUUACCUGCAUACCAUCCUAACUUUUCGAGCAACCGACGACCUGGAUUUUCUUUGCUAAUUUCAGGGGCAUCUUCUCCAACAAUUUGGCCAUCAUAUACACGUGUGGCUUUACUCGACCUCACAGAGGAAACAGUCAUUCGAGAUUUCCUACCAGAUUUGGAAAAUGACUGAUACUCAACCCUGGUCUGUAAACGCUCCAUAAUCCUGGUAAGUGAAACCAAAUCCACACUAGAUGCAUCAAAUUUAUGAGUUUUGGAAAGCAUAGUAUACCGCUUGUUUCCAGAUCCAUAACUUCUCGACUUCAAGUUCAAAUCGUUGGCAAGCGCAUGAACCAAUCGACGAACAUAUUUUCUGCAUGGAGGAAGGGAAAUUUCUUCAAUGGCCGAGUGCUUAAACUGUUGCAUCCGUUGAUAAACAUCAUUUAUAAAUAUCUUAUCAAUUCGUGUAAGACUAGCAUUGUCAGAAUCGGAAGAAGACGGCUUCUGGCUUUCGCGCAAAAGUUUCUUUUUGCUUUUCUUUCCAAGUAGCCCCUCAGAGCGGAGUUUCUCCCUUUCCGCUCGUCUUCUUGCCUUUUUGCUUUUAUCUUUAAGCCAUUGUUCUUGCAAUUCAGCGUACAAGUUCAUGCUCUCAUCGUCCAAAGAAUUGGAAAAGGCAUCUCCCAUUCUAGCGGCCACAGCCUUUCCUGCCUUUCUCUCUAAUUUCUUUUGAGCUUUACGCAUUUUUUUAGGAAGUUUGCGAUCUUUUUUCAAACCUUUUUCUUCUUUUACCUUCGCCCCUUUUUUGCUUUGAGAAACUUUUUCCGUUUUUUGAGUUGAGGGGUUAUUGUACUCUUCAUCCUCACUGUCAUAAUCAUAAAUAGUAAAAUCAUUUUGCAAAGUAUCUCCAAUACUAAGGUAUGCCUCAAUCUCGGAAUCAUCACUAGCAUCAAAAAUUGCCAAAAGCUCUUCUUCAUCUUCAUCUUCAUCUUCUUCCAAAAUAUCAUCUUCAUCUUCGGCUAAUGAAUCUGUAUUUCCCACAAGUUCCGUCGUUAACUUAGCAUAAUCAUAGUCAUCUGAUCCCUCAUCAAAUUCUAAAGAUUCCGAAUCUUCAAGUGAAAAAUUUACUUUACCCUCUGUCUCAUCGUAAUUUGAUAUUUCAGGUUUUUCUUUCUCCUCUUCCUCCUCUUCUUUCUCUCCUUCUAGCUCUUCAUCUUCGUCCUCAUCAUCAUCAUCUUCUUCUAAAACGGAGAGGUCGGCAAACUUGUUCAUAGUAAACGUAGUCAUUUUAUCGGUGGUGUCAUCAAUAUCAAACUCGUCUUCAUUUUCGGUACUCAACUGCUCCUGUGCCUGAGCCAAAGGCGGUGGAGGUGCAGCGUUAUUGUUAGCAAUAUCAUCAUUGACCAAGUUUGGAACAUUUAGUAUGUCUAAAGAGUCAUCAUUAUCUUUAGAAUAUAACUCCUUCUCAGAUUCUUGUUCUUUGUAACACAACUGCUCACUUUCUUCUGUAGAUGAAAUUUCCUUAUCACUUGGUGCAAGAUUUAAAGAAUGCUGAAUCAAAACAUUUUCGUUCAUGCUUUUCUCAGGAAAACUUGAAACUUCUACAUUCUUGGUGGUAUCAAACGCUUCCGCAUAUUCCGGAAUUUUCUUUACUUUCAAUGUAUCACCUUUCGAAGUAAUUGCUUUAAAUAACACAAUGUCCAACGCCUUUAUUUCACCGGUUUUUGAUAAAUCUUCGCAGGACUUAACGUUGGUUUCCUUGGGAAGCAUAAUCUCUUUGCUUUGGUGCUUAGCUUCAUUGUGGGCAUUUUGUUCAUCGAUUAAUUGACACAAUUCUUCCGCCGGGUUGUAAUUGUCCUUAGCACGUAUAAAGGUAAUUCGGGGCCAUUGUGAAAUUCGACUACUAGGGUUUAAACCAAAAGGGCUUUUAGAAUUAUUGGAUCCCUUAAAUCUUCGGAUUCGUGUAUCACCACGAAACCUGGCAGAAGUUUGUAACUGAUCUAAAAUCUGUAGAUCAUCAAAAUUUGACAUUGAGGGAUACAAGUCAAAAAAUAUGAUAAAAAAAAUAAUAUAUAAUUGUUUUAAUAAAUAAUGAUGGUGAAAUCCUAAAUUGUGAG
RNAcentral lists this long non-coding RNA (2545 nucleotides) under Schizosaccharomyces pombe (fission yeast). Lineage: Eukaryota; Fungi; Ascomycota; Schizosaccharomycetes; Schizosaccharomycetales; Schizosaccharomycetaceae. The record is from RNAcentral.